Nicotiana tabacum (common tobacco) is the source of this 200-nucleotide non-coding RNA. Lineage: Eukaryota; Viridiplantae; Streptophyta; Magnoliopsida; Solanales; Solanaceae. The record is from RefSeq and is a predicted model, not a curated record.
GUCAGUAACAGCUGCAAGUAGAAAAGAAGAAACACGGGGAGUCGCUAAGUAGGAUAACAUGCUCUUAAUUUCAGCGACAAAUUAAGUUAAGUUGCUGGAUGCCCUUACCGCGAUUAAAAGACCAAUCUCAACAGAGGCAAAAACCACGCCAAAAAAUGCCCCCAUGCAAGCGACAAAAUCAAAUUUGUCAAUCUUCCAAA